GGCGCUAUAGCCAAGUGGUUACGGCGACAGAUUCGAAUCAUCCCUUAUCUGUUCCUCUUUGAGGGCGCAGGUUCAAAUCCUGCUGGCGUCG
This is a non-coding RNA of Lentinula aciculospora, 91 nucleotides long. The record is from the annotation of a GenBank genome assembly. NCBI's taxonomy places the organism in Eukaryota, Fungi, Basidiomycota, Agaricomycetes, Agaricales, Omphalotaceae.